UUCAUAUAUGGGGGGAUAUUAAUGCAUCAUUUAUAUGUUUUUAUUAAAUUAAAAUGAUAAUCAAUGUUGCAUUAACCAAUCUCAAAUAUAAUAAAUCGAAUAUCCACUUCACGAAUUUCUUUGUAAUUUGCAUAUUAUUUUUUAUAAAUUUCUGCUUGAUUUUAUAAUGUGUUCUAAUAAGAUUAUGUGUAGUAGAUGGACUUGAAUUUUUUUAUGAGUCCAAUAUUUGUCAUGAAAGGUGAGAAUUCAAUAUUUAAUUAAGAGAACAUCAUUUUCUAUGAUUUUUCUGUACUUAAAAUUCGAACCAAGGACGACAUCAUUUCCUUUAAGCAACAUGCAAGGUUUUCACAGAUUUAGAUUCUAUUUCUUUUGCAGAUUUUUACUUGAGAAUAAUUAGACUUUAAAUGGAUCUUUUUUGCUACUAUUUCACCACAUGCAUUACAUUUUUCUUUGGUUUUUGUUGUAUGUUUGUUCGCACUAAGUCAUAGAUGGAUUGAAUUGGAAAUGAAGUCUAUUGGUGCUGAAAGAUAGAAAUGUGAGCCAAUUGUGUUUUUAUUAUUAUCUUUUUCCUCUUUUCUUCCC
This 582-nucleotide long non-coding RNA is filed under the name Spirodela polyrhiza (greater duckweed). RNAcentral's name for it is "long non-coding RNA (SPOL_LNC000077)". Lineage: Eukaryota; Viridiplantae; Streptophyta; Magnoliopsida; Alismatales; Araceae. The record is from RNAcentral.